Molecule: ribosomal RNA, 450 nt
Filed under: uncultured bacterium
Lineage: Bacteria
Description: partial 16S ribosomal RNA
Rfam family: Bacterial small subunit ribosomal RNA
Source: RNAcentral
GUAGGGAAUAUUGGGCAAUGGAUGCAAGUCUGACCCAGCCAUCCCGCGUGCCGGAAGAAGGCCUUCGGGUUGUAAACCGCUUUUGUCAGGGAAGAAAUCCUUUGGGUUAAUACCUCGGAGGGAUGACGGUACCUGAAGAAUAAGCACCGGCUAACUACGUGCCAGCAGCCGCGGUAAUACGUAGGGUGCGAGCGUUAAUCGGAAUUACUGGGCGUAAAGCGUGCGCAGACGGUUAUAUAAGACAGAUGUGAAAUCCCCGGGCUCAACCUGGGAACUGAAUUAGUGACUGUAGAUCUGGAGUGCGGCAGAGGGGGAUGGAAUUCCGCGUGUAGCAGUGAAAUGCGUAGAUAUGCGGAGGAACACCGAUGGCGAAGGCAAUCCCCUGGGCCUGCACUGACGCUCAUGCACGAAAGCGUGGGGAGCAAACAGGAUUAGAAACCCCAGUAGUCC